This 503-nucleotide ribosomal RNA is filed under the name uncultured bacterium. RNAcentral's name for it is "partial 16S ribosomal RNA". It matches the Rfam family "Bacterial small subunit ribosomal RNA", at positions 30 to 523 of the family's 1533-position model. The record is from RNAcentral.
AUUGAACGCUGGCGGCAGGCUUAACACAUGCAAGUCGAGCGGGGUGAUGGUGCUUGCACUAUCACUUAGCGGCGGACGGGUGAGUAAUGCUUAGGGAUCUGCCUAUUAGUGGGGGACAACAUCUCGAAAGGGAUGCUAAUACCGCAUACGUCCUACGGGAGAAAGCAGGGGAUCACUUGUGACCUUGCGCUAAUAGAUGAGCCUAAGCCGGAUUAGCUAGUUGGUGGGGUAAAGGCCUACCAAGGCGACGAUCUGUAGCGGGUCUGAGAGGAGGAUCCGCCACACUGGGACUGAGACACGGCCCAGACUCCUACGGGAGGCAGCAGUGGGGAAUAUUGGACAAUGGGGGGAACCCUGAUCCAGCCAUGCCGCGUGUGUGAAGAAGGCCUUAUGGUUGUAAAGCACUUUAAGCGAGGAGGAGGCUCUUUUGGUUAAUACCCAAGAUGAGUGGACGUUACUCGCAGAAUAAGCACCGGCUAACUCUGUGCCAGCCGCCGCCGUAA